AAUAGAUACCCAGGUAGUCCACGCCGUAAACGAUGAGUGCUAAGUGUUGGGGGGUUUCCGCCCCUCAGUGCUGCAGCUAACGCAUUAAGCACUCCGCCUGGGGAGUACGGUCGCAAGACUGAAACUCAAAGGAAUUGACGGGGGCCCGCACAAGCGGUGGAGCAUGUGGUUUAAUUCGAAGCAACGCGAAGAACCUUACCAGGUCUUGACAUCCCGGUGACCACUAUGGAGACAUAGUUUCCCCUUCGGGGGCAACGGUGACAGGUGGUGCAUGGUUGUCGUCAGCUCGUGUCGUGAGAUGUUGGGUUAAGUCCCGCAACGAGCGCAACCCUUAUUCUUAGUUGCCAUCAUUCAGUUGGGCACUCUAAGGAGACUGCCGGUGAUAAACCGGAGGAAGGUGGGGAUGACGUCAAAUCAUCAUGCCCCUUAUGACCUGGGCUACACACGUGCUACAAUGGACGGUACAAACGGUUGCCAACCCGCGAGGGGAGCUAAUCCGAUAAAACCGUUCUCAGUUCGGAUUGUAGGCUGCAACUCGCCUAC
Molecule: ribosomal RNA, 543 nt
Filed under: uncultured bacterium
Lineage: Bacteria
Description: bacterial SSU rRNA
Rfam family: Bacterial small subunit ribosomal RNA
Source: RNAcentral